This is a long non-coding RNA of Eucalyptus grandis, 2224 nucleotides long. RefSeq lists it as uncharacterized. The transcript is spliced from 2 exons. The record is from RefSeq and is a predicted model, not a curated record. NCBI's taxonomy places the organism in Eukaryota, Viridiplantae, Streptophyta, Magnoliopsida, Myrtales, Myrtaceae.
AUUCAGGUUUUCGCUUACGCAUUAUCAGUUUGGUGGUGGAGUAAGCUAAGCGACGUGUCCCAAAGUGGCUUCUUGUGUUUCUAAUUUGAAGUAGUCCUUUGCCUCCUCCAUCCAACCAUUCUGACAGCUUUUGCUUUUGGUGUCUUUAAAGCUUCAAGCUCCAAUAAUCAGGAUCUGAGCGCAAGUUGGACUGACCUAAUUGCUCAGCCUAUUGAGGCCAAGUGCAAGCCUCUGUAAUCUUCGGCUCCUAAUGCUCGAGUCCGAGGCCUUGAGUAUUAUUGACUCUCGCGAUAUAACACCAUAGACCUCACUCUCAAGCAGUGAAGUGAGCUCUGCCCUUCUCUUGAUACUGUAGUAGUAUACAUAUAAGUCGGUCAAUAUAUGUCAUGUCCUCAUCUCAUGUUGUGUACGACACCAGCUUAUGCCAUCUUGAGGAAAAUGGAAACGGUAGAUUCAACCAAGACGAGGAGAGGAAAGAUGAGAUGAUGGUAAUAUGUAGACGACCGAAUUUACUUGCUUGCCGUUUGAGAUCUAGCUCAAUAUUGCAGAGAGAGAGAGAGAGAGAGAGAGAGAGAGGAUACUUCUGUCAUCUUGACAAACCAAGAAAAUAGUGUGAACAACUCUUGACAUCUUCAAAGUGAAAGGAUUUCUUUUAUUUCGUCCUAGUAUCUACAGAAGAUUGAAAUUCUUAGUUCCAUUAUCAGCAAAGCGUAUAAAAACAUGAAUACAGAUUUGAGACAUUUCGUAUGUUGUUUUUACAUGCCUUUAGGGUCUCUUGCUACUAGUCAGGGUAAGAAAUAGAGUGAGUACAGUACUGCAUCCUAGGAAGCUUAGAAAAGACUUGUAAUUUCAGAUCUGUCAUGAAUCUCUCUAUUUUCCAGUCCUGUUUUCCGCAUGUUACUGAAGUCUAGAUACCUCAGUUUCCUAAUGGACGUGUGCAAAAUAAUCAGCACCCUGUCUAGAUAAAAUUACCCAAUCCAUCUCCACACAUGUCAAUUUUUUCUCCGACGAAAAGAUGUUUUGAGGCGAAUUUUCAGACGUCGUGCAAAGCCUUCUUUUUAUGGGGUUCAAGUGCAGAGAGCACUUACCGUGACUCGAUCCAAAGUCUUGGUCAAGUCGCUCGAUUAUGCAACCAACCACUCCACCAUGACUGGUGGAUGGCUUGUAUACAGGUUAAAACUUUAACUAUGACUGAGAAAAUUAUUUUCCACGUCCCUGUGGAAUGAAAGCAAAAACUUUCCAAUUGUAGUCACAGGCGAAAUUUGUAUUGUAAAGGUCCAAUGUGCCAAAAACCAGGAUGCAUGGCCUUAUGAAAAUCCACGCCAUUACCAACGGAAGAGGUUCUGCAAUUACAACCAGAAAAUCUAUCAAUCAAAAGCACAAGAACAAAUCUGAAAGAUGCAUAGUGUCGUACUGGGGGCGACUCUCAACUCACCAGCUUCUUUUUCUUUUCUUUUUCUCAACGUAGGCCAAGAGCUUUUCCAGUCAGGCAAUGGAAGCCUCCAAUGCCUGUAUGAAUUUCAGUAUCAGUGUGGAUUCUAUUCUGAAUAAAUUUGUGGAUCUUAUGAUUUUUGAACAAGCAAAAAUGGAAAGCACUCGGUGCAGAUUUUUUACUCACUAAUUAAUUAAUUGGGAGGCAUGCAUUUGGUAACAGGCAGAGGCCUGGAUAUUUAUAAGCUAGUUGUGCAUAGACCUUCUUGGUUGAAGAUAGCUCCUGUUCUAGGGCUUCAACGCAACCAACUGCAGCAGAAAUAGAAGGCUCCGGCAACUGAUGUGGUUGAAGGCCAUGCCACAUGUCGUGCAGACCACAGUGAACAUCCCCUUGACAAAGGCCAAUAGACCAUUGAAGAUGCGGUUGCUUAUAGCUUCUGAAGAUUUGCAAGGAUCGGGCAUGGCAAAGCAACCUGGUUAGCAGGUGACAUCUGAUUAGCUCAUUUAUGUCGAAGGUCACUUUCAAAACCAAUGCAGAGUAACCUUGGAUGAUAGCAAGCUCUCAGACUUUUCACUCACUCAAAUUCUUCAUUCGUAUAUGAUCUUGUAUAGGAUUUUCUUGGAGUAUGCACCAGAUUGCAUACCUUUUUCCAAUUCAGAUUUGGAAGUUGGUAAUAUGUUAAUACAACCAGUGUCGACAUUCUUGUCAAUUAUAGGUAAAAAGCGAUCAUAACUGUUUCCAGCAUUGCACUCUUUCACAACGAAAAUCUAGACAAAAGGAGAUUAUCUACCA